UCCGAAUUGGUGUAGGGGUCAACAUUUCUGGUUUUCACGAUUCACGGUCCACCGUCGUCUGAAAAUUCCAGGAGCCACGGGUUCGAUUCCCGUAUUCGGAA
Glarea lozoyensis 74030 is the source of this 101-nucleotide transfer RNA. It matches the Rfam family "tRNA". From Rfam's summary of the family: Transfer RNA (tRNA) molecules are approximately 80 nucleotides in length. Their secondary structure includes four short double-helical elements and three loops (D, anti-codon, and T loops). Further hydrogen bonds mediate the characteristic L-shaped molecular structure. tRNAs have two regions of fundamental functional importance: the anti-codon, which is responsible for specific mRNA codon recognition, and the 3' end, to which the tRNAs corresponding amino acid is attached (by aminoacyl-tRNA synthetases). tRNAs cope with the degeneracy of the genetic code in two manners: having more than one tRNA (with a specific anti-codon) for a particular amino acid; and 'wobble' base-pairing, i.e. permitting non-standard base-pairing at the 3rd anti-codon position. The record is from Rfam. Lineage: Eukaryota; Fungi; Ascomycota; Leotiomycetes; Helotiales; Helotiaceae.